This 370-nucleotide ribosomal RNA is filed under the name uncultured Synergistaceae bacterium. RNAcentral describes it as "bacterial SSU rRNA". It matches the Rfam family "Bacterial small subunit ribosomal RNA", at positions 1018 to 1382 of the family's 1533-position model. The record is from RNAcentral. Lineage: Bacteria; Thermotogati; Synergistota; Synergistia; Synergistales; Synergistaceae.
UUUCGGGUAGGGAGCGUACACAGGUGCUGCAUGGCUGUCGUCAGCUCGUGUCGUGAGACUGUUGGGUUAAGUCCCGCAACGAGCGCAACCCCUGCAUUCAGUUGCCAUCGGGUAGAGCCGGGCACUCUGGAAGGACUGCCAUCGACAAGAUGGAGGAAGGUGGGGAUGACGUCAAGUCGUCAUGGCCCUUAUGUCCAGGGCGACACACGUGCUACAAUGGCCGGCACAACGGGAAGCGAGUUCGCGAGGACAAGCGGAUCCCUCAAAGCCGGUCGCAGUUCGGAUUGAAGUCUGCAACUCGACUUCAUGAAGCUGGAAUCGCUAGUAAUCGUGGAUCAGCCAAGCCGCGGUGAAUACGUUCCCGGGCCUU